RNAcentral lists this ribosomal RNA (253 nucleotides) under uncultured bacterium. Its description in RNAcentral is "partial 16S ribosomal RNA". It matches the Rfam family "Bacterial small subunit ribosomal RNA", at positions 524 to 776 of the family's 1533-position model. The record is from RNAcentral.
UACAGAGGGGGCAAGCGUUGUUCGGAAUUACUGGGCGUAAAGGGCGCGUAGGCGGCCCGCUAAGUCGAACGUGAAAUCCCCGGGCUCAACCCGGGAACUGCGUCCGAUACUGGUGGGCUUGAAUCCGGGAGAGGGAUGCGGAAUUCCAGGUGUAGCGGUGAAAUGCGUAGAUAUCGUAAGGAAGACCAGUGGCGAAGGCGGGUCUCUGGACAGUUCCUGACGCUGAGGCACGAAGGCCAGGGGAGCAAACGGG